UUUCGCAAUGCCCGAAAGGGUGACGAAGCGACGCCGCGUGUGGGAAGAAGGCCUUCGGGUUGUAAACCACUGUCGGGAGUUAGGAAAUGUAAGGGUGCUAAUAGUAUCCUUACUUGACUAAGGCUCCGGAGGAAGCCACGGCUAACUCUGUGCCAGCAGCCGCGGUAAUACAGAGGCGGCAAGCGUUGUUCGGAAUUAUUGGGCGUAAAGAGCACGUAGGCGGCCUUGUAAGUCAGUUGUGAAAGCCUUCUGUUCAACGGGAGAAUUGCAUCUGAAACUACAGACCUUGAGUAUAGGAGGGGAGAAUGGAACUUCUGGUGGAGCGGUGAAAUGCGUAGAUAUCAGAAGGAACGCCGGCGGCGAAAGCGAUUCUCUGGCCUAUUACUGACACUCAGUGUGCGAAAGCUAGGGGAGCAAACGGGAUUAGAUACCCCGGUAGUCCUAGCCGUAAACGAUGGGCACUAAGUAGAGGGGUUUUA
This 479-nucleotide ribosomal RNA is filed under the name uncultured anaerobic ammonium-oxidizing bacterium. RNAcentral describes it as "bacterial SSU rRNA". It matches the Rfam family "Bacterial small subunit ribosomal RNA", at positions 364 to 833 of the family's 1533-position model. The record is from RNAcentral.